GAUGAACGCUGGCGGCGUGCCUAAUACAUGCAAGUCGAGCGAACGGACGAGAAGCUUGCUUCUCUGAUGUUAGCGGCGGACGGGUGAGUAACACGUGGAUAACCUACCUAUAAGACUGGGGUAACUUCGGGAAACCGGAGCUAAUACCGGAUAAUAUUUUGAACCGCAUGGUUCAAAAGUGAAAGACGGUCUUGCUGUCACUUAUAGAUGGAUCCGCGCUGCAUUAGCUAGUUGGUAAGGUAACGGCUUACCAAGGCAACGAUGCAUAGCCGACCUGAGAGGGUGAUCGGCCACACUGGAACUGAGACACGGUCCAGACUCCUACGGGAGGCAGCAGUAGGGAAUCUUCCGCAAUGGGCGAAAGCCUGACGGAGCAACGCCGCGUGAGUGAUGAAGGUCUUCGGAUCGUAAAACUCUGUUAUUAGGGAAGAACAUAUGUGUAAGUAACUGUGCACAUCUUGACGGUGCCUAAUCAGAAAGCCACGGCUAACUACGUG
Molecule: ribosomal RNA, 497 nt
Filed under: uncultured bacterium
Lineage: Bacteria
Description: partial 16S ribosomal RNA
Rfam family: Bacterial small subunit ribosomal RNA
Source: RNAcentral